This 494-nucleotide ribosomal RNA is filed under the name uncultured bacterium. RNAcentral describes it as "bacterial SSU rRNA". It matches the Rfam family "Bacterial small subunit ribosomal RNA", at positions 30 to 521 of the family's 1533-position model. The record is from RNAcentral.
AUUGAACGCUGGCGGAAUGCUUUACACAUGCAAGUCGAACGGCAGCACGGGGCAACCUGGUGGCGAGUGGCGAACGGGUGAGUAAUACAUCGGAACGUGCCCAAUCGUGGGGGAUAACGUAGCGAAAGUUACGCUAAUACCGCAUACGAUCUACGGAUGAAAGCGGGGGAUCGCAAGACCUCGCGCGAGUGGAGCGGCCGAUGUCAGAUUAGGUAGUUGGUGGGGUAAAGGCUCACCAAGCCAACGAUCUGUAGCUGGUCUGAGAGGACGACCAGCCACACUGGAACUGAGACACGGUCCAGACUCCUACGGGAGGCAGCAGUGGGGAAUUUUGGACAAUGGGCGCAAGCCUGAUCCAGCCAUUCCGCGUGCAGGAUGAAGGCCUUCGGGUUGUAACUGCUUUGUACGGAACGAAACGGACGAGCUCUAAUACAGUUGCUAAUGACGGUACCGUAAGAAUAAGCACCGGCUAACUACGUGCCAGCAGCCGCGGU